RNAcentral lists this transfer RNA (82 nucleotides) under Proteobacteria bacterium CAG:139. It matches the Rfam family "tRNA". From Rfam's summary of the family: Transfer RNA (tRNA) molecules are approximately 80 nucleotides in length. Lineage: Bacteria; Pseudomonadati; Pseudomonadota. The record is from Rfam by way of RNAcentral.
GCCUAGGUGGUGAAAUGGUAGACACAGGGGACUCAAAAUCCCCCGCCUAAUAAGCGUGAGAGUUCGAAUCUCUCCCUAGGCA